UAUUUGAAACAUCCAAUGAGAAUACGUAUUUAAGUCGGUAAUUGAGAGAAUUAUAUUAUCAAUUCUAUAAACGGCCGAUAGGUGUCAGGACUGAAUAUUUUCUCUAACCGACGUUUCUGCAUUCAGCCAAUCAGAGCAUUUCUUUCUUAAAGCUUUUUGGCUAUUGAAAAUUUUUCAUUGUCGUUGGCGUCUGUUCUGAUUUUUCACUAUUUUCUUGCAGAAAAGAUCCCUCCAUUGGUGGUCCAUGAACAAUUUUGCUGAAAAUCCAGCUUCGGGUAAAUGAGAAAUUUAAGUCGUUGAAACUCGGUCUCCUUGUAAGGGUUAUUUUCCAAAUUUGCAAUUGCAUAAAAAUUUGGAUUCUAACCUAGAGGAGGGAUCUCCGAGGAUAAAUGACUUGAAGAUUAUUAUCUUGCCCGGGUUGGUAGUCUUCGUUCGAGGGAAUUAAUAAAAAUUCUCCCUCCAUUGUUGAAAAUCGUAAGAUUUGAUGGACUACUACCUGUCAGAAAAUUCAACUUCCGACAGCAAAAUGAGAAAUUCAAGUUAUUAGAACUCGGUCUCCUUGAAAGGGUUAUUUUCCAAAUUAUUGGAUUCUAACCUAGAGGAGGGAUCUCCGGGGACAGAUAACUUGAAGACUAUCAUCUAGCCGGGGUUGAUCGUCUUCGUUGGAGGGAAUAAAUUAAAAUGCCACGUUCGACAAAAGAAGUCAAAUCAAAAAAAGUUUUUGUAAUUCAAUUGAUUCAAUGUUUCAAGUCAGUGCGCGUUUUUAAAUCGUUUUGAUAAGUGAAAUGUUUGUUUAGUUUUUCUGUUUGCAAAGUUUAAAAAUAUUUUCUAAAAAUAGUCAGUGUUGCGGGCACGUUACAAUUUACACAAUUGACUAGAAAUUUGUUUUGUUAAAAUUAUUAAAAAAUUUAACUUAGUCAAAAAAGUUUUUUAUUAAUUAAAAUGACGAUUAUUUAUUAUUUAUAGAAUUUUUUUUCCAUUAAUUUCUGGAAAAAACUGUAAUUUGUGACUACCCAACACUUAAAUAAUUUAAUUAUCUUUAUCGAGUCAGUGCGCGUUUAAAAAUUUGCAAAUAAAAUUCAGUGAAAGUAUUGUGAUUCAAAGUUGGAAGGAUUCCAAUCGGGCUUCAUUCAUUUUCAAUAAUGGAAUGAAGGACAGGAAGGACGGAAGGAAGGAAGGACAGAAAGUAUAGGAAUAAAAUGCAGCGUGCAGAGAUAAAGCAGAGAGCUACAACAACCCUUUUCAUUAUAUAGUCAGCAAGUAGUGAGUCCCUCCUGUCUCAAAAGUUGAUGUGGCGUAGACAGGUUGUAAUAAUUUUGAAAACUUCCUUAGUGACGGUUAAUUAAAUCGAUUAACAUUUAAUUCACAAUAUUAAAUUACAUUUAAUCUAUUUAAUUAACAGGUGGAUUUUUUUAUUUUUAUGUAUUUUUCUUAGAUCAGGAUGCAUAACUUUUCUUGGUUCGCGAAAAUAAUAAAUUUUUAAUAUUGAUGAAAAAUGCAAUUUAUUAAUUGAUUAAAUUUUUGU
Leptopilina boulardi is the source of this 1525-nucleotide long non-coding RNA. RefSeq lists it as uncharacterized. The record is from RefSeq and is a predicted model, not a curated record. Lineage: Eukaryota; Metazoa; Arthropoda; Insecta; Hymenoptera; Figitidae. The transcript is spliced from 5 exons.